AAGCAUAUCAAUAAGCGGAGGAAAAGAAACCAACAGGGAUUGCCCUAGUAACGGCGAGUGAAGCGGCAACAGCUCAAAUUUGAAAUCUGGCUCUUUCAGAGUCCGAGUUGUAAUUUGCAGAGGGCGCUUUGGCGUUGGCAGCGGUCCAAGUUCUUUGGAACAGGACGUCACAGAGGGUGAGAAUCCCGUACGUGGUCGCUAGCCUUCGCCGUGUAAAGCCCCUUCGACGAGUCGAGUUGUUUGGGAAUGCAGCUCUAAAUGGGAGGUAAAUUUCUUCUAAAGCUAAAUACUGGCCAGAGACCGAUAGCGCACAAGUAGAGUGAUCGAAAGAUGAAAAGCACUUUGGAAAGAGAGUCAAAUAGCACGUGAAAUUGUUGAAAGGGAAGCGCUUGCAGCCAGACUUGCCUGUAGUUGCUUAUCUGGACUUUUGUCCAGUGCACUCUUCUGCGGGCAGGCCAGCAUCAGUUUGGGCGGUUGGAUAAAGGUCUCUGUCAUGUACCUCCUUUCGGGGAGGCCUUAUAGGGGAGACGACAUGCAACCAGCCUGGACUGAGGUCCGCGCAUCUGCUAGGAUGCUGGCGUAAUGGCUGUAAGCGGCCCGUCUUGAAACACGGACCAAGGAGUCUAACAUCUAUGCGAGUGUUUGGGUGUCAAGCCCAGACGCGUAAUGAAAGUGAACGGAGGUGGGAACCUUUUAGGUGCACCAUCGACCGAUCCUGAUGUCUUCGGAAGGAUUUGAGUAAGAGCAUAGCUGUUGGGACCCGAAAGAUGGUGAACUAUGCUUGAAUAGGGUGAAGCCAGAGGAAACUCUGGUGGAGGCUCGCAGCGGUUCUGACGUGCAAAUCGAUCGUCAAAUUUGGGCAUAGGGGCGAAAGACUAAUCGAACUAUCUAGUAGCUGGUUCCUGCCGAAG
RNAcentral lists this ribosomal RNA (911 nucleotides) under Parastagonospora nodorum. Its description in RNAcentral is "eukaryotic LSU rRNA". It matches the Rfam family "Eukaryotic large subunit ribosomal RNA", at positions 36 to 966 of the family's 3401-position model. Lineage: Eukaryota; Fungi; Ascomycota; Dothideomycetes; Pleosporales; Phaeosphaeriaceae. The record is from RNAcentral.